UACGGAGGGGGCUAGCGUUGUUCGGAAUUACUGGGCGUAAAGCGCACGUAGGCGGACCAGAAAGUUGGGGGUGAAAUCCCGGGGCUCAACCUCGGAACUGCCUUCAAAACUAUUGGUCUUGAGUUCGAGAGAGGUGAGUGGAAUUCCGAGUGUAGAGGUGAAAUUCGUAGAUAUUCGGAGGAACACCAGUGGCGAAGGCGGCUCACUGGCUCGAUACUGACGCUGAGGUGCGAAAGCGUGGGGAGCAAACAGG
RNAcentral lists this ribosomal RNA (253 nucleotides) under uncultured bacterium. RNAcentral describes it as "partial 16S ribosomal RNA". It matches the Rfam family "Bacterial small subunit ribosomal RNA", at positions 524 to 776 of the family's 1533-position model. RNAcentral also lists the same sequence under 3 other names. The record is from RNAcentral.